AACCUUACCUGGGCUCGAAGCGCACUUGACUAGCUAUAGAAAUAUGGCCUUCCCGCAAGGACAAGUGUGGAGGUGGAAUCAGCGAUUAGGGUG
RNAcentral lists this ribosomal RNA (93 nucleotides) under uncultured bacterium. Its description in RNAcentral is "partial 16S ribosomal RNA". The record is from RNAcentral.